GCAAACUUGGUCAUUUAGAGGAAGUAAAAGUCGUAACAAGGUCUCCGUUGGUGAACCAGCGGAGGGAUCAUUACAGAGUUGUAAAACUCCCAACCCAUGUGAACAUACCUCUGUUGCCUCGGCGGCCUACCCGGUAGCUACCCUGUAGUUACCCUGUAGUCCGCCGGCGGAAUACAACAAAACUCUUGUUUAUUAUAUUAUCUCUGAGAAAAACUUUAAUAAGUCAAAACUUUCAACAACGGAUCUCUUGGUUCUGGCAUCGAUGAAGAACGCAGC
RNAcentral lists this unclassified non-coding RNA (276 nucleotides) under uncultured fungus. RNAcentral's name for it is "partial contains small subunit ribosomal RNA, internal transcribed spacer 1, and 5.8S ribosomal RNA". The stretch from base 1 to 73 matches the Rfam family "Eukaryotic small subunit ribosomal RNA", at positions 1759 to 1831 of the family's 1831-position model. Lineage: Eukaryota; Fungi. The record is from RNAcentral.